This is a non-coding RNA of Xylaria telfairii, 100 nucleotides long. NCBI's taxonomy places the organism in Eukaryota, Fungi, Ascomycota, Sordariomycetes, Xylariales, Xylariaceae. The record is from the annotation of a GenBank genome assembly.
GCCCUGGUAGCUCAAUUGGUUAGAGCGUCGGACUUUUAUACGCCUUUGGGUAUAUAACAGAUCAAUCCGAAGGCCGCGGGUUCGACCCCCGCCUGGGGCG